GCCCCUGUGGUGGAAUUGGUAGACGCGCCGCACUCAAAAUGCGGUUCUUAACGGAGUGCCAGUUCGAGUCUGGCCAGGGGCACCA
Molecule: transfer RNA, 85 nt
Filed under: Erythrobacter sp.
Lineage: Bacteria; Pseudomonadati; Pseudomonadota; Alphaproteobacteria; Sphingomonadales; Erythrobacteraceae
Description: tRNA-Leu
Rfam family: tRNA
About the family: Transfer RNA (tRNA) molecules are approximately 80 nucleotides in length. Their secondary structure includes four short double-helical elements and three loops (D, anti-codon, and T loops). Further hydrogen bonds mediate the characteristic L-shaped molecular structure. tRNAs have two regions of fundamental functional importance: the anti-codon, which is responsible for specific mRNA codon recognition, and the 3' end, to which the tRNAs corresponding amino acid is attached (by aminoacyl-tRNA synthetases). tRNAs cope with the degeneracy of the genetic code in two manners: having more than one tRNA (with a specific anti-codon) for a particular amino acid; and 'wobble' base-pairing, i.e. permitting non-standard base-pairing at the 3rd anti-codon position.
Source: RNAcentral